Molecule: long non-coding RNA, 544 nt
Filed under: Salvia miltiorrhiza (redroot sage)
Lineage: Eukaryota; Viridiplantae; Streptophyta; Magnoliopsida; Lamiales; Lamiaceae
Description: long non-coding RNA (SMIL_LNC001256)
Source: RNAcentral
CAAAUUUCCCUUCAAAAUAAAAAUAGGAUAAAUAAGUUUUUAUAUAAGAUCUGUUUAUUAAACCUGAUUCUUUGCAUCUGGCUUCCCACACUGUUCUGAGAGAGCCUACUCAUCUCAUUCAGUAGGCCCGACCCCAAUAAAAUUUGAUAUAUCCAUGAGAAAUGUCCGAAGACAGAGAUGGUGUGGGUCGAAAUUCAUAGGUGGAUUGGAAUUUCUACUGCGCAGCCACAACUCAUCAACAUGCAUUUCGAGUCAUUCAUAAACUUAGGCACGGGGAAGGAAAAUGAGAAAUUUCUUACGGCUCUUUGGAUUUGCACCGUGUGGCAGCUGUGGAAGAAACGAAAUGAGUGUAGGUUCGAUGGCAAGGGGUGGGAGCCGAAGAAUUUGGUAUGUGAGAUCAAAAGUAUUUUGUGGAGUUGGGUUAGUAUUUUUAAUCUGUGUGGUGUGGAGCGAAAUUUUGCCUCAUGGUGUUCUUCUGAUCCCAUGGAUCAUUUUCUGUAAACUGUAAACUGUUGGGUACCUCUGGUACCAACUUCUCUUUCCU